Molecule: ribosomal RNA, 497 nt
Filed under: uncultured bacterium
Lineage: Bacteria
Description: partial 16S ribosomal RNA
Rfam family: Bacterial small subunit ribosomal RNA
Source: RNAcentral
GAUGAACGCUGGCGGCGUGCCUAAUACAUGCAAGUCGAGCGAACAGAUGAGGAGCUGGCGCGUCUGACGUUGGCGGGGGACGGGAGAGGAACACGUGGACGACCUACCUAUAAGACAGGGAUAACAACGGGAAACCGGAGCUAAGGCCGGAAAAUAUAUUGAACCGCGUGGUGCACUAGUGGAAGACGGUUUUUCGUAGAGUUAUAGAUGGAUCCGGGCCGGAUCAGUUAGUGGGUAAGGUAACGGCUUAGCAAGGCAACGAUGCGUAGCCGACCUGAGAGCGUGAUCGCCCACCCUGGAACUGAGACACGGUCCACACUCCGGCGGGGGGACGCAGUAGGGACUCUUACGCGAUGCACGAGUGCCUGACGGUGCACCGCCGCGGGAGUCCUGAUGGUCUUCGGCUCGUAGAGCUCUGUUAUUCGGAGAGAACUAAUGUGUAAGUACCUAUGCUCGUCUUGACGGUACCUAGUCAGAAAGCCCCGGCUAACUCCGUG